GCACUGCUGAGGAGUCCCAUUAUAGGACGAAACGACCGUCCAGUGC
This is a non-coding RNA of Schistosoma mansoni, 46 nucleotides long. NCBI's taxonomy places the organism in Eukaryota, Metazoa, Platyhelminthes, Trematoda, Strigeidida, Schistosomatidae. The record is from Rfam.